This 279-nucleotide ribosomal RNA is filed under the name Triticum aestivum (bread wheat). RNAcentral's name for it is "partial small subunit ribosomal RNA". The record is from RNAcentral. Lineage: Eukaryota; Viridiplantae; Streptophyta; Magnoliopsida; Poales; Poaceae.
AUGUUGCAGCGUGCUUGUCAGUGUCUACACCAUGACCAGCAGCCUCCACUCCAAUCAGUCUUACAUCCUGAUCAUCAACAAACUCAUGGAAGAGACCCAUGGCAUUUGAUCCACCACCAACGCAAGCAACCAGCACAUCAGGCUUGCCACCCCACUUGUCCAUCGCCUGUCUACGGGUCUCCUUGCCGAUCACCUUAUGGAACUCCCUCACCAUCAUCGGGUAUGGGUGUGGACCCGCAACUGAGCCCAAAAUGUAGUGUGUGGUCUCUACGUUGGUGA